This 1235-nucleotide long non-coding RNA is filed under the name Homo sapiens (human). RNAcentral's name for it is "HSALNT0337451". The record is from RNAcentral. Lineage: Eukaryota; Metazoa; Chordata; Mammalia; Primates; Hominidae.
AGUAGGUGAUCGUGGCCUUCCUUGGGAUCCCUGUUUCCCCCUUUUAUUCCCUUUUCACCCAGUAAAACCCUGCUUUGCUCACUCUUUAAAGCAUCUGUGAGCGUAAAUUUUUGUGGCCAUGGGAUGGACAAGAACCACAUGUUUACCUGAAGUCCUGUGACAUUUUGGUGUGCAGCAUGGGAGCUCCAAAAGUGGAUAAAGAAUGUUGCCAUUGAGAGGGCUCUAAUGGUGGAAUUACCUUCAACUAACAUUUACUGAGAGGAGGAGAGGCAACUGAGACAAGAAGUCAAGAGGGGAUAGGAAAUACGACCUGUCUCACUUUGAUCCAUAUUGAAGGCUUCGGAUUUCCUUCAUUCUCCAAGUGAUGCAAAACCAAGGCUGUACAAGCAUGGUGAUGGCAUCUGUCCAGCAUCUGGGGAGCCUGCAGGGAGCUUUUACUCAGGACAGAAGGUGAAGCAGGAGCAGUACCAUCACUCUGGAGGAAACACAGGAAAGACUGCCGACGUUCAUUUCCUUGAGGGAGUAGAAUUGAGGCUGGUCAUGCCCUAUGGCUUCAUUUUACCUUAUGGAAUGGGAAGAAUGGCAUCUGCUAAUAUAGAGGCAUUUUUCUAAAGGCAGAUUCCGUGGUGCGUAAUUUAUUUGUAACAUCUUCAGGAAUGAACAAUUGUGUUGGAGAAUCAACAUGGCACACAUAUUGUGAUCAGUGCCGAAACAAAUAAUUCUCUAGACAGCCUAUUUUAAAGUCUGUUGAUUUUACAGAUAAACAGACUGAGAUGCUUCUUCACAUGCUUGUCUUUCAGUUCCUCAUCAUUACAAUCAUAGCAGGAGGGGCCGCCUGAGAGUCAAAAGAUUCCAGUUCUUCCCACUGUUUCUCUGGGCCUCAGCCUUUUCCUCCACAUAAUGCACAUACCGGGCUAAGGUCACCCUUGUUUCCACAACAUGUAAUUGUCUUAUUUUCUAAUUUGUUUAUUGUCUAAACAGAAAAAUUGGAGUGUAGAAAAGGAAGACAUAAUUGUAAACUGAAAUAAUCAGAACAUCUUCAGGAAGAUACAUGAUUUAAGCUGAAUUUUAAAGAAUUAGUAAAAUAUUUAUAAUAAAAUCCAUUACAAUUUAUACUGUUUUUUAAGUUAAAAUGAUUUUUACUAAACAUAACACUUUAUUCUUCCUGUCAUAGCUGUAUAAUAUAUUGUAAUUGUUAUUUUCAUUAUAAAGGAAGAAAAGAAAUAGAAAAAAAA